GUGACAGCACCCCCUGCUGGUUGGACGAGAACGUGAUUAUUAUUGUGUAAAUGCUUUAUUUUGGUGGCUUUUCCUCCUUUGCUGCUAAUCCAAACUGUUCAGAAACAUUUCUCUCAUCCUCUAUUUGUUAAUCCGGCAAACAACUGCUGAAUGAUGAUGAGGCGGAGUUAUUCUGAGAAAAUCUCCUGGCAUUAAUCAUGAUACACUAUUAAUCACUAAAUGAUGAGAAAUGUGCGCAGGCAGCACACCUGCUAAUCUGCGUGCUCGAGGCCUCCAUGAUGCUGCACGCUCACAUGUUACAUCAAGCUUUUGUUUCUAACUGAGCCUGACAGUAAGCCUGUCUGCUGAAGGAUCUCCACUGCACGGUCAAGAGAAUGGCCAGCGUGGCGUGCGUCACUAAACAGGGCUCUGUGGAAAAAUGAAAGGAGGGGAGGAGAAAACACUGACCGGGGAGGUGGGCACUGUGAGGAACCUGUGACCUGGACAAAGAGGAAGAGGAAGAAGCUGUGCGGUCUCCGAGAGGGAGCUAUCAAGUUCAUUUGGUGUUGUUUGGAUUUUUUUUUUUUUUUUUUGUGAUCUUGAGUUUUUUCGGGGUAUAUGAGUUGUAUUCCAGCUUCGCACAGUAUGAACGCCAUUCUCAGUCAAGUGGAUUCACAGAUGGACGAGGGCUCAGGCCAGAGAAGAGGCAGCAAAGCCUAUCAGAUUUUUCCUGAAGUGGACAUGGAUGACAAUGCCGAUUAUCCGGAAGAUUUCCGUUACAGGCGGGAGCGCCUCCCCUCCAUUGUUGUGGAGCCGACCGAGUGCUGUGAGCAGGAGAGCGAGGGGCCGCCCUGGCCUCUCUAUCAACUGAGCAUGGACGAGGAGGGGGAGGACAGCGGAGCCGAACCCACAGAGGGGCCUGCAGAUGGAGAGCAUCAGGAGGACAUGCAGGAAGGCUCCAACAGUCGGAAGUCCUCCAUCGUCACAUCCCAGAGUCAACUGUCCCUGUCUCGACUGACCCCACCUGCAUCCCCUGCUGCUCCCGAAGCAGCCCCACCCGGCUUGAGGAGCUGA
This 1053-nucleotide long non-coding RNA is filed under the name Oryzias sinensis (Chinese medaka). RNAcentral's name for it is "lncRNA (ENSOSIG00000015037.1)". The record is from RNAcentral. Lineage: Eukaryota; Metazoa; Chordata; Actinopteri; Beloniformes; Adrianichthyidae.